This 371-nucleotide ribosomal RNA is filed under the name uncultured fungus. RNAcentral's name for it is "eukaryotic LSU rRNA". The stretch from base 6 to 159 matches the Rfam family "5.8S ribosomal RNA". The record is from RNAcentral. Lineage: Eukaryota; Fungi.
AUCAAAACUUUCAACAACGGAUCUCUUGGUUCUGGCAUCGAUGAAGAACGCAGCAAAAUGCGAUAAGUAAUGUGAAUUGCAGAAUUCAGUGAAUCAUCGAAUCUUUGAACGCACAUUGCGCCCGCCAGUAUUCUGGCGGGCAUGCCUGUUCGAGCGUCAUUUCAACCCUCAAGCACAGCUUGGUGUUGGGACUCGCGUUAAUUCGCGUUCCUCAAAUUGAUUGGCGGUCACGUCGAGCUUCCAUAGCGUAGUAGUAAAACCCUCGUUACUGGUAAUCGUCGCGGCCACGCCGUUAAACCCCAACUUCUGAAUGUUGACCUCGGAUCAGGUAGGAAUACCCGCUGAACUUAAGCAUAUCAAUAAGCGGAGGA